CCUGAUUGAUCCUGCGAGUAGUCAUAUGCUUCUCUCAAAGAUUAAGCCAUGCAUGUGUAAGUAUGAACAAAUUUAGACUGUGAAACACCGAAUGGCUCAUUAAAUCAGUUAUAGCUUGUUUUAUGGUAUCUACUACUUUGAUAACCGUACUAAUUGUUGAGCUAAUACAUCUAACAAACCCCGAGUUCUGGAAGGGAUACAUUUAUUAGAUAAAAGGUCGAUGCGGGCUCUGCUCGUUGCUGCGAUGAUUCAUGAUAACUCGAUGUAUCGCAUAGCCAUUGUGCCGGUGAAGCAUCAUUCAAAUUUCUGUCUGAUCAAGUUUUGAUGGUAGGAUAGUGGCCUACCAUGGUGGUGAUGGGUGACGGUGAAUUAGGGUUCAAUUUUUGAGAGGGAGCUUGAGAAACGGCUUCCACAUCCAAGGAAGGCAGCAGGCACGCAAAUUACCCAAUCAUGCCACGGGGAGGUAGUGCCAAUAAAUAACAACACCGGGCUCAAUGAUUCUGGUAAUUAGAAUGAGUAUAAUCUAAAUCCCUUAACGAGGAUCCAUUGAAGGGAGAGUCUGGUGCCAGCAGCCGCGGUAAUUCCAGCACCAAUAGCGUAUAUUUAAGUUGUUGCAGUUAAAAAGCUCGAAUUUGGACUUUGGGAUUUGCCGGUCGGUCCGCCUAUGGUGUGCAUUGUUCAUCUCAUCCCUUCUGUCGGCGAUGUGCUCCUGGCCUUAACUGGUCGGGUAGUGCCUCCGACGCUGUUACUUUGAAGAAUUUAGAGAGCUUAAAGCAAGUCUAUGCUCUGUAUACAUUGCAUGGGAUAACAUUAUAUGAUUUCGGUCUUAUUAUGUUGGCCUUCGGGAUCGGAGUAAUGAUUAACAGGGACAGUCGGGGGCAUUUGUAUUUCAUAGUCAGAGGUUAAAUUAUUGGAUUUAUGAAAUACGAACAAAUGCGAAAGCAUUUUCCAAGAAUGUUUUCAUUAAUCAAGAACGAGAGUUGGGGGCUCAAAGGCGAUCAGAUACUGUUCUAGUCUCAAUCAGAAAUGAUGCCGACCAGGGAUCGGUGGAUAUUGCUUUUAGGACUUCAUCGGCACCUUAUGAAAAAUCAAAGUUUUUUUGUUCGGGGGGGAAUAUGGUCGCAAGUCUCAAACUUACAGGAAUUGGUGGAAGGGCACUACCAGGAGUGGGGCCUGCGGCUUAAUAUAACUCAACACAGGGAAAAUUACCAGGACCAGACAUAGUAAGGAUUGACAGACUGAGAGCUCUUUCUUGAUUCUAUGGGUGGUAGUGCAUGGCCGUUCUUAGUUGGUGGAACGAUUUGUAUGGUUAAUUCCGUUAACGAACGAGACCUCAACCAUCUAACUAGCUAUGCAGAGGUAUACCUUCGCGGCCAGCUUCUUAGAGGGACUACGACAUUUUAGGCCACGGAAGUUUGAGGCAACAACAGGUCUGUGAUUCCCUUAGAUAUUCUGGGCCGCACGCACGCUACACUGAUGUAUUCAACGAGUUUAUAUCCUUGGACGACAGGCACGGGUAAUCUUUGAAAUUUCAUCAUGAUGGGGUUAGAUCAUUGCAAUUGUUGGUCUUCAACGAGGAAUUCCUAGCGAGCGUGAGUCAUCAGCUCGCGUUGACUACGUCCUUGCCCUUUGUACAUACCGUCCAUCACUCCUACCGAUUAAAUGAUCCGGUGAAAUGUUUGGAUCGCAGCGACGUGGGCGGUUCGCUGUCGAUGACAUCGCGAGAAGUCCACUGAACCUUAUCCUUUAGAGCAAGAAGAAUUCGUAACAAGGUUUCCGUAGGUGAACAUGCAGAUG
Molecule: ribosomal RNA, 1797 nt
Filed under: Capsicum chinense (habanero)
Lineage: Eukaryota; Viridiplantae; Streptophyta; Magnoliopsida; Solanales; Solanaceae
Description: SSU rRNA
Rfam family: Eukaryotic small subunit ribosomal RNA
Source: RNAcentral